AGUGAACGCUGGCGGUAGGCCUAACACAUGCAAGUCGAACGGCAGCACAGUAAGAGCUUGCUCUUACGGGUGGCGAGUGGCGGACGGGUGAGGAAUACAUCGGAAUCUACUUUUUCGUGGGGGGUAACAUAGGGAAACUUACGCUAAUACCGCAUACGACCUACGGGUGAAAGCAGGGGAUCUUCGGACCUUGCGCGAUUGAAUGAGCCGAUGUCGGAUUAGCUAGUUGGCGGGGUAAAGGCCCACCAAGGCGACGAUCCGUAGCUGGUCUGAGAGGAUGAUCAGCCACACUGGAACUGAGACACGGUCCAGACUCCUACGGGAGGCAGCAGUGGGGAAUAUUGGACAAUGGGCGCAAGCCUGAUCCAGCCAUACCGCGUGGGUGAAGAAGGCCUUCGGGUUGUAAAGCCCUUUUGUUGGGAAAGAAAAGCAGCAGGUUAAUACCCCGCUGUUCUGACGGUACCCAAAGAAUAAGCACCGGCUAACUUCGUG
RNAcentral lists this ribosomal RNA (492 nucleotides) under uncultured bacterium. RNAcentral describes it as "partial 16S ribosomal RNA". It matches the Rfam family "Bacterial small subunit ribosomal RNA", at positions 29 to 507 of the family's 1533-position model. The record is from RNAcentral.